This 78-nucleotide transfer RNA is filed under the name Pyrococcus woesei. Its description in RNAcentral is "tRNA-Arg". It matches the Rfam family "tRNA". Rfam says of the family: Transfer RNA (tRNA) molecules are approximately 80 nucleotides in length. Their secondary structure includes four short double-helical elements and three loops (D, anti-codon, and T loops). The record is from RNAcentral. Lineage: Archaea; Methanobacteriati; Methanobacteriota; Thermococci; Thermococcales; Thermococcaceae. RNAcentral also lists the same sequence under 4 other names.
GGGCCGGUGGCCUAGCCUGGAUGGGGCGUCGGCCUUCGGAGCCGAAGGUCCCGGGUUCAAAUCCCGGCCGGCCCGCCA